CUUCGUCGUCGUCGUCGUCGUCGUCGUCGUCGUCGUCAUCGUCGUUGUUGUCCGCCGACAAUAACGUGUCUCUGCAAGAGGGGACAGACUCGGACAACUGGCCUCCACUCUUCGUUCUUGCUUGCUCUGACUCACGAUCCUGAGAAUGAGGUCUGACCUAGGAGAAGUAUCGCUCUUCGGAGAUGGCCUGGCAGUUUUUCAUUACCGGUGAUCUCCUCUUGGGAACCAGCCGGAAGACCAGAGUGUACAAUUACACCAGGUGGGGGAUAAAUAAGGAGUAGGUGGCACGACGAGAUGAGGCGAGAAACAAGACGGAAGUGGGUCAGCGGGAUUCUCGGUCGUGAGGGUCCGGGUUCAUUUCUCCUCUUCAAGAGAGUCACGGUGAGCUCCGGCUAACGAACUAAAAUCUACAAAAGUGUUUGCGAUCGAGAUCAAGUAAAUUAACAAACAGAUUAACUUUGUAAAAUAAAGAAGAAAGUUUUAACGCGUUCGUCACCACUCUAGGACAAUAUAGGACUUUUUAUCUCUAUCGUUUAUAAUUCCACAGUCUAUAGACGAAUGAUAUGGUAACGAAUGCGUUUAAAGAUGAUCCUUAGAUGAAAUUGAAAUAAAAUAUUCCUUUAUUUUAAGAGAUUACCUUGAUACUUGCUAAAGUAUUCUAAACUUCAAAAUAUUCGAUUCGAUGUAUAACAAUGAUAACGAGUUGUUGUUUGCCUGCAUUCGGUUUGUUGUUCUUCUUGAAAUAAAUAAUUCUUCUUCUUUUGAUAAUUCUCAAUUAUAUUUUAUACAUACAUAGACUUUUUCGAAUAUUUACAAAUAGUUCAUUCUUCUCGUUCGAUUAGCUCCUUCAUUUUGGAACACCCGUGCAAGGAGGAACACCAGGACUUCUCGAAUCUUACACAGGUUCGUUUACCUCCCCGACAUUAACGCUUAACUGCUAAUGAUUAUUUUACACUCAACAUCGAUAAACACUCAGGUAGAGCUAAUAAAUUUUCUAGCGUUUUGUUAAGAUUUUUCGCGUUUUCAUUCUACUUCCACUUUUCUUUUUCUUCUUUCUUAAUCUCGUUUCUGCUUGAUACACAGACGCAUUUUUAUUUUUCUUGAAAAUUCGUACCCCGAUCACGUUUGCAUUUUUGCAAAAUAUAGAAAAAUCUCUCUCAAUCUCUCUCUCUCUCUUUUUUUACGUGUUUCCCCUCUCUUUUGUUUUCUCGAUAAAAAAAUAUGUGCAUCGUAUAUUCUUGUUUGAACUUAGCUGGCCCCCACGAAACACGAUACCACUGUUCAAUCGUUGUCGAUCUAAAUUUUGAAAAAUUUGUCGUUACCGGGAAAGGACGGAUCUUAAUAUUUGUAUCGUGUGACGAUUACAAUAUUUGACAAUUGAACUCCAAUAAAAUAAAGUAUCCGGAUUACAUUUUUAAACUCCAAUUGCUUAAAUUCUCAAUUUUUAUUUCUAUAGUUUUUGAUUCUCUGCAGUCUGAUUUUUCUGACUACAAAGUUUUGGAUUACUGGACAGUGGUGCCAUGCGUAUAUGGUGUAUUUUACAAUCCACUUUGCAUCUAAUUUAUCACCAAUGUGUCUUCUAAGUCACGAUUUCAGGAAAUGCUCAGAACUCCAGCAAGAACUUCGACUCCAAAAGAAAGUUUACAAAUUGCGUUCAGCUUCGUCGAUAAAACAGGAAACAGAAGUAUACAAUGCUUGUACUGUAAACAAAUAUAAAAUAUAGUAGAAUUGAUUUAGGAGAAUACGAAAGAGAGCCAGCGAUCUCGUAUAAUAAAAUAUACACACCGAUUCUUCGCGCAUCAAGAAUGGACGUAAGAAAAACGCUUGCUCUACGCUCGAAAUACAGUCGCGGUUAAUCUCAGCAAGAAUAAAAAUCUUAAUAACGAUAGUAAUACUCUCUCGUUAACUACGCAACAGUCUAUAAAGCCUCUUAUUUUCGUCUGAAUCACGUAUCCUCGUUCUUCGCGCUACAAUCCUCGUUCGUUACUCUCUAGAGCAGAGAUUCUCAAAAUUAGAAUUCCAAUAUUUCAGAAAUUCAAAGCUAUGGAGCUUUUGAAUCGUGCACCUUUGAAAAAUGAAACAUUGAGAAUCCCUGCGCCAAAGCUAAGCGCCUCGAAUUAAUUUCAUAGAAUGCUUGCAUUGUUCCCAUCGAAAGACAAUCGGACAAGAAUCUCUUUGCGCACCUCGUCGAGAACAGAACGAUGCCUAUGUAGAGAAUCGAUCGACUCUCCUAGCAAAGUGACGAUCAAGCAGAACACAGCUUGUUAAAAAUAAAUCGCUCUAUACGCAUUUACAUGAAUUUAAAAAUAUAAAUACAAAAUCUUCCCUAAAUUCGUACGUUUGUGCUCUCAGUCCGUUCGAAAUGUCCAAGCUUUUUAAACGGAAUACACGCCGGAUCACGAGGAUCUGAACCGACAAUAACUUGGGCACGUCGAAUAUACAAUUGAGACGAACGAGAUCUUCGAAGCAUUUGACGCGUUUACACUCGGCGACGCGUAUAUCGAGUUAAACAUUGAGAUCGGUAGCUAAAAUAUAACAGUAUAUAAUAUUACCUUGAGUAUUAUUCGUUCCUUUACAAACUACUUAGGUCGUAGUCGAAUCGAAACUCGGUUGGAAUGUACAUACGGGUCAGCUAAAUACAAUUUUAAUCCUUGUCCGUCAGACGACCGGUCGCUCGUUUCUUUUGUUCAUCUAAUUAAUUACGUGUGAUUUACUUAGAGCCUCGGGAGGUACAACUCAAGAAUUCUCCUGUCAUCUUUUGUCUACAUUUUAACGCGUUCUAUACCUUGCAAAUUGUCGACGAAUCAAAGUCAAAAAAAAAAAA
Megachile rotundata (alfalfa leafcutting bee) is the source of this 2824-nucleotide long non-coding RNA. Lineage: Eukaryota; Metazoa; Arthropoda; Insecta; Hymenoptera; Megachilidae. The record is from RefSeq and is a predicted model, not a curated record.